Apis dorsata (giant honeybee) is the source of this 992-nucleotide long non-coding RNA. RefSeq lists it as uncharacterized. Lineage: Eukaryota; Metazoa; Arthropoda; Insecta; Hymenoptera; Apidae. The transcript is spliced from 2 exons. The record is from RefSeq and is a predicted model, not a curated record.
UACGUUUACAACGGAAACAAUUUUUGGUAAUUUUCUUCCAAUUCGAUUCGACGAUCAACAUUGUUAUUCCCUAUAUCGUAUCUCAGAAGAGAAAUCGAAAGAUCAAUUGUCAAACAGAGGUUCGAUUCAGAUAAUCAAGUACAUACAUCGCAUAAAUUUCAACGUUUGAAAUCAACGAUACGUUUGAGCCGUAUAUCGCACGAUAUUUUACGAGUGAAACUCCUUUAACGAGCACUCGACUCGGCCGACAAAUCGUGUUCCAGCCUCGUGCUUCCACCUCUUAUUCGUAAUUUAUGAAGCAAUCAUACGUUAAAUUUUCCACUUUUAUUAUUUUCAUCGUCGAAAGCAUCAUCUUCAGAGUGAUUUGAAAAACUCGAAUUUAUAAACAUUCACUGACAGAUGCCACUCCAUUAAGAGUGAUAAAAACUAACUCGACCCAGACUCUCCUUAAUUGUAUUCAGCCGCAUAAACAAGAAGAAACAAAUCCUGGUCUAUAGGAUAUAUCUGGCACGAACAGAAAAUCAGGUAAAGAAGUUUGGAAACUUUCUUGAGCACUUCUUAGUGAGAAAAAUGACUUCCUCGAAGUUCAAAGAUUUUCUAAGAUCUUCGAAGAUCGGUGCAAAAAGUACGAGCUCCGAUCAAAGAAUAAAUAUUGCUUAUUAUUCGUAUUCGAAUCGAAAAUUGCGAAGAAAUCGCAAGUGUAUUCGUAUUUUGUUUACUGAUUUGAUUGCGUUUUCCACUUCAGAAAGAAUCGAUCGAUUUACACGAAAUUUUUACUUGAAGAGGUAAUAAAAUUCGUGGUUCUUCGAAUAGAGAUCUAGCAAAGAUUUAAAAGCUCUCAGAUAUUUCUAUCCUGGAUAGAAAGAUGUAUCGUUUGGCUGGGCAAACGAGUGGAGAUUGAGUUAGGAAAAAUUGUUUUUCACCCGAUAUGGCGGACGAAUAGUAAACGAGCGAAUAACGAGUGCUUGGAUCUGAAAUAUUGCUCUGUAAAA